Non-coding RNA from Alligator mississippiensis (American alligator), 47 nucleotides. The record is from Rfam. Lineage: Eukaryota; Metazoa; Chordata; Crocodylia; Alligatoridae.
CCAAAGGCUUUUUUCAGAGCCACCUCCCUCGCCAUAAAAAGGGCUCG